AAAAAACGUACUCCCUCCAGAAAAAAAAAGACAAACAAACCCUGAUUUUCGUGUACAACGUUUGACUAUCCGUCUUAUAUAAUUUUUUUUAUAAUUAGUAUUUUCAUUGUUGUUAGAUGAUAAAACAUGAUUAAUAUUUUAUACAUGACUUGUCUUUUUUAAUUUUUUUCAUAAUUUUUUCAAAUAAGAUGGAUGGUUAAAUGUUGGACUCGGAAACCCAGGGUUUGUCUGUUUUUUUAGGAUGGAGGGAGUAUUGCGCU
RNAcentral lists this unclassified non-coding RNA (260 nucleotides) under Oryza sativa (Asian cultivated rice). RNAcentral describes it as "partial microRNA MIR438p-8 precursor". The stretch from base 29 to 225 matches the Rfam family "MIR812 microRNA precursor family". The record is from RNAcentral. Lineage: Eukaryota; Viridiplantae; Streptophyta; Magnoliopsida; Poales; Poaceae.